GAAUACUCUCUACCUUUGCAGCAACAUGAACAAAAAAUCCAUGCACAUUCGACAUGACAUUUGGAAGAGACUGCAACAGAGAUGAAUUGGAGUUCAUAGAAUUCCUGUCAGAAUCUAAGGCCAUCAACUGCUCCAAUUCUUCAACCCAUUGUCGGCAUUCUACAAGAUAUUUCUCAAAUCUUGCUACGGUUUGCUGCAAAAAGGGAGAGGGCUUUUUUUGGUAU
This 224-nucleotide unclassified non-coding RNA is filed under the name Hevea brasiliensis (rubber tree). Lineage: Eukaryota; Viridiplantae; Streptophyta; Magnoliopsida; Malpighiales; Euphorbiaceae. The record is from RNAcentral.